RNAcentral lists this long non-coding RNA (536 nucleotides) under Pongo abelii (Sumatran orangutan). RNAcentral's name for it is "lincRNA". Lineage: Eukaryota; Metazoa; Chordata; Mammalia; Primates; Hominidae. The record is from RNAcentral.
AGGUUGGGGGCUGGGGACGUGCCAGGCCAGGACCUGCAACAGAAACCGCCGCCCCACAGAAAGUUUCCACAGAAAGGAAACUUUCUGUGCCCCACCCCGUCCUGCCUGAAAAGUUCCUUUCCAUGAGGGCUUGGUGCUGAGUGUGGCCCCCACAGGGAUGUCUGUGUGGUCACAGAGCACCCGUGGGAGGGCAAUUCUGACCCCAAGGUAGGAAGCAGUGAUCGGGUAAUUCUAGGCACCAAGGCAGAUGAGAAGACCAAGCCACAGCCUCCUCAUGAAGUUUGAAGUCUGCAUUGAACUCAUUAAUUUCCAGCUUUUGGCCGGGCGUGGUGGCUCAUGACUGUAAUUCCAGCACUUUGGGAGGCCAAGAUGGGGCCCGUGAGUGAGGAGGACAAGAGAGAAAGGAGAAGUUUGGGUGGAAAUCCCAGAGAUUGUUCAUCAUGUGAGAGGAGCCAUGCUGCAUUUCAUGCCAUACUCACACCAUGGAUGGAGAAAAAAAGCCAAGCUUCACUUUCUAAGAAUGGCCCUGGGGCCAC